AGCAAUGCCGCGUGAACGAAGAAGGUUCUCGGAUCGUAAAGUUCUGUUGUAAGGGAAGAACACGUACGGGAGUAACUGCCCGUACCUUGACGGUACCUUAUUAGAAAGCCACGGCUAACUACGUGCCAGCAGCCGCGGUAAUACGUAGGUGGCAAGCGUUGUCCGGAAUUAUUGGGCGUAAAGCGCGCGCAGGCGGUCUUUUAAGUCUGAUGUGAAAGCCCACGGCUCAACCGUGGAAGGUCAUUGGAAACUGGGAGACUUGAGUACAGAAGAGGAAAGCGGAAUUCCACGUGUAGCGGUGAAAUGCGUAGAGAUGUGGAGGAACACCAGUGGCGAAGGCGGCUUUCUGGUCUGUAACUGACGCUGAGGCGCGAAAGCGUGGGGAGCAAACAGGAUUAGAUACCCUGGUAGUCCACGCCGUAAACGAUGAGUGCUAAGUGUUAGGGGGUUUCCGCCCCUUAGUGCUGCAGCUAACGCAUUGAGCACUCCGCCUGGGGAGUACGGCCGCAAGGCUG
RNAcentral lists this ribosomal RNA (515 nucleotides) under uncultured Bacillota bacterium. Its description in RNAcentral is "bacterial SSU rRNA". It matches the Rfam family "Bacterial small subunit ribosomal RNA", at positions 390 to 896 of the family's 1533-position model. The record is from RNAcentral. Lineage: Bacteria; Bacillati; Bacillota.